AGAGGCCCUCUGCGGCCGGGGUGGAAUGCUUGCCUUGUCGCCGUAGCGAUGAAGCAAGCAUUCCGCCAGGCCGCUCACGCUGCCCAC
Non-coding RNA from Myotis lucifugus (little brown bat), 87 nucleotides. The record is from Rfam. NCBI's taxonomy places the organism in Eukaryota, Metazoa, Chordata, Mammalia, Chiroptera, Vespertilionidae.